RNAcentral lists this ribosomal RNA (253 nucleotides) under uncultured bacterium. RNAcentral describes it as "partial 16S ribosomal RNA". It matches the Rfam family "Bacterial small subunit ribosomal RNA", at positions 524 to 776 of the family's 1533-position model. The record is from RNAcentral.
UACAGAGACUGCAAGCGUUAUUCGGAUUCACUGGGCGUAAAGGGUGCGCAGGUGGGUUGGCAAGUUUGAUGUGAAAGCCCCGGGCUUAACCCGGGAAUGGCAUUGAAUACUGCUGAUCUGGAGGAUUGGAGGGGGGACUGGAAUUCUUGGCGUAGCAGUGAAAUGCGUAGAUAUCAAGAGGAACACCAGUGGCGAAGGCGAGUCCCUGGACAAUACCUGACACUGAGGCACGAAAGCCAAGGGAGCAAACAGG